RNAcentral lists this ribosomal RNA (405 nucleotides) under uncultured bacterium. RNAcentral describes it as "partial 16S ribosomal RNA". It matches the Rfam family "Bacterial small subunit ribosomal RNA", at positions 361 to 773 of the family's 1533-position model. The record is from RNAcentral.
AUAUUGCGCAAUGGAGGGAACUCUGACGCAGCUACGCCGCGUGAGCGAUGAAGUUUUUCGGAUCGUAAAGCUCUGUCCUUGGGGAAGAAGGUCUUCGUACUUUACGGUACCUCAGCAGGAAGCCUCGUCUAACUACGUGCCAGCAGCCGCGGUAAUACGUAGGGGGCAAGCGUUGUCCAGAAUUAUUGGGCGUAAAGGGUGCGUAGGCGGCCUUUUAAGUCAGGUGUGAAAGCCCACGGCUUAACCGUGGGAUUGCAUUUGAAACUGGAAGGCUUGAGUAUCGGAGAGGGUAGUGGAAUUCCCAGUGUAGCGGUGGAAUGCGUAGAUAUUGGGAGGACCACCAGUGGCGAAGGCGACUACCUGGACGAAAACUGACGCUGAGGCACGAAAGCUAGGGGAGCAAAC